UCGACCUCAGAUCAGGUAGGAAUACCCGCUGAACUUAAGCAUAUCAAUAAGCGGAGGAAAAGAAACCAACAGGGAUUGCCUCAGUAACGGCGAGUGAAGCGGCAACAGCUCAAAUUUGAAAUCUGGCCUCUGGCCCGAGUUGUAAUUUGCAGAGGAUGUUUCUGGCGAGGUGCCUUCCGAGUUCCCUGGAACGGGACGCCAUAGAGGGUGAGAGCCCCGUACGGUUGGUCGCUAAGCCUCUGUGAAACUCCUUCGACGAGUCGAGUAGUUUGGGAAUGCUGCUCUAAAUGGGAGGUGUACGCCUUCUAAAGCUAAAUAUAGGCUAGAGACCGAUAGCGCACAAGUAGAGUGAUCGAAAGAUGAAAAGCACUUUGAAAAGAGGGUUAAAUAGUACGUGAAAUUGUUGAAAGGGAAGCGCUCUUGACCAGACUUGCGCCGGUUGAUCAUCCACCGUUCUCGGUGGUGCACUCUGCCGGCUCAGGCCAGCAUCAGUUCGGCUUGGGGGAUAAAGGCUUCGGGAAUGUGGCUCUCUCCGGGGAGUGUUAUAGCCCGUUGCGUAAUACCCUGGG
Molecule: ribosomal RNA, 569 nt
Filed under: Gliomastix murorum
Lineage: Eukaryota; Fungi; Ascomycota; Sordariomycetes; Hypocreales; Bionectriaceae
Description: eukaryotic LSU rRNA
Rfam family: Eukaryotic large subunit ribosomal RNA
Source: RNAcentral